AUUGAACGCUGGCGGCAUGCCUUACACAUGCCAGUCGAACGGCAGCACGGGUGCUUGCACCUGGUGGCGAGUGGCGAACGGGUGAGUAAUACAUCGGAACAUGUCCUGUAGUGGGGGAUAGCCCGGCGAAAGCCGGAUUAAUACCGCAUACGAUCUACGGAUGAAAGCGGGGGACCUUCGGGCCUCGCGCUAUCGGGUUGGCCGAUGGCUGAUUAGCUAGUUGGUGGGGUAAAGGCCUACCAAGGCGACGAUCAGUAGCUGGUCUGAGAGGACGACCAGCCACACUGGGACUGAGACACGGCCCAGACUCCUACGGGAGGCAGCAGUGGGGAAUUUUGGACAAUGGGCGAAAGCCUGAUCCAGCAAUGCCGCGUGUGUGAAGAAGGCCUUCGGGUUGUAAAGCACUUUUGUCCGGAAAGAAAUCCUUGGCCCUAAUACGGUCGGGGGAUGACGGUACCGGAAGAAUAAGCACCGACUAACUACGU
Molecule: ribosomal RNA, 485 nt
Filed under: uncultured bacterium
Lineage: Bacteria
Description: partial 16S ribosomal RNA
Rfam family: Bacterial small subunit ribosomal RNA
Source: RNAcentral